GAUGAACGCUGGCGGCGUGCCUAAUACAUGCAAGUCGAGCGAACGGACGAGAAGCUUGCUUCUCUGAUGUUAGCGGCGGACGGGUGAGUAACACGUGGAUAACCUACCUAUAAGACUGGGAUAACUUCGGGAAACCGGAGCUAAUACCGGAUAAUAUUUUGAACCGCAUGGUUCAAAAGUGAAAGACGGUCUUGCUGUCACUUAUAGAUGGAUCCGCGCUGCAUUAGCUAGUUGGUAAGGUAACGGCUUACCAAGGCAACGAUGCAUAGCCGACCUGAGAGGGUGAUCGGCCACACUGGAACUGAGACACGGUCCAGACUCCUACGGGAGGCAGCAGUAGGGAAUCUUCCGCAAUGGGCGAAAGCCUGACGGAGCAACGCCGCGUGAGUGAUGAAGGUCUUCGGAUCGUAAAACUCUGUUAUUAGGGAAGAACAUAUGUGUAAGUAACUGUGCACAUCUUGACGGUACCGAAUCAGAAAGCCACGGCUACUACGUG
RNAcentral lists this ribosomal RNA (496 nucleotides) under uncultured bacterium. RNAcentral's name for it is "partial 16S ribosomal RNA". It matches the Rfam family "Bacterial small subunit ribosomal RNA", at positions 28 to 507 of the family's 1533-position model. The record is from RNAcentral.